GCAUAUCAUAAGCGGAGGAAAAGAAACCACAGGGAUUGCCCUAGUAACGGCGAGUGAAGCGGCAACAGCUCAAAUUUGAAAUCUGGCCUUCUGGUCCGAAUUGUAAUUUGUAGAGGAUGCUUUUGGUUAGGUACCUUUCGAGUUCCUUGGAACAGGACGCCUUAGAGGGUGAGAGCCCCGUACGAUUGGAUACCGAGCCUCUGUAAAGCUCCUUCGACGAGUCGAGUAGUUUGGGAAUGCUGCUCUAAAUGGGAGGUAAAUUUCUUCUAAAGCUAAAUACCGGCCAGAGACCGAUAGCGCACAAGUAGAGUGAUCGAAAGAUGAAAAGCACUUUGAAAAGAGGGUUAAAUAGUACGUGAAAUUGUUGAAAGGGAAGGGCUUAUGACCAGACCUUUGCCUUGCGGAUCAUCCGGUGUUCUCACCGGUGCACUCCGCUUGGUUGAGGCCAGCAUCAGUUUUGGCGGCCGGAUAAAGACUUCAGGAAUGUGACUCCUCCGGGAGUGUUAUAGCCUGCUGUGUAAUACGGCCGCUGGGACUGAGGACCGCGCUUCGGCUAGGAUGCUGGCAUAAUGGUCAUCAGCCACCCGUCUUGAAACACGGACCAAGGAGUCGAACAUUUAUGCGAGUUUUUGGGUGUUAAACCCUCAAGCGUAAUGAAAGUGAACGGAGGUGAGAGCCCUUACGGGUGCAUCAUCGACCGAUCCUGAUGUCUUCGGAUGGAUUUGAGUAAGAGCAUAACUGUUCGGACCCGAAAGAUGGUGAACUAUGCGUGGAUAGGGUGAAGCCAGAGGAAACUCUGGUGGAGGCUCGCAGCGGUUCUGACGUGCAAAUCGAUCGUCAAAUCUGCGCAUGGGGGCGAAAGACUAAUCGAACCAUCUAGUAGCUGGUUACCGCCGAAG
This 899-nucleotide ribosomal RNA is filed under the name Microdochium bolleyi. RNAcentral's name for it is "LSU rRNA". It matches the Rfam family "Eukaryotic large subunit ribosomal RNA", at positions 38 to 966 of the family's 3401-position model. Lineage: Eukaryota; Fungi; Ascomycota; Sordariomycetes; Xylariales; Microdochiaceae. The record is from RNAcentral.